This 468-nucleotide ribosomal RNA is filed under the name uncultured bacterium. RNAcentral's name for it is "partial 16S ribosomal RNA". It matches the Rfam family "Bacterial small subunit ribosomal RNA", at positions 28 to 507 of the family's 1533-position model. The record is from RNAcentral.
GACGAACGCUGGCGGCGUGCCUAACACAUGCAAGUCGAACGGAAAGGCCCUGCUUUUGUGGGGUGCUCGAGUGGCGAACGGGUGAGUAACACGUGAGUAACCUGUCCUUGACUUUGGGAUAACUUCAGGAAACUGGGGCUAAUACCGGAUAGGAGCUCCUGCUGCAUGGUGGGGGUUGGAAAGUUUCGGCGGUUGGGGAUGGACUAGCGGCUUAUCAGCUUGUUGGUGGGGUAGUGGCUUACCAAGGCUUUGACGGGUAGCCGGCCUGGGAGGGUGACCGGCCACGUUGGGACUGAGAUGCGGCCCAGACUCGUACGGGAGGCAGCAGUGGGGAAUAUUGCACAGUGGGCGGAAGCCUGAUGCAGCAACGCCGCGUGCGGGAAGACGGCCUUCGGGUUGUAAACCACUUUCGCCUGAGACGAGGCGUGAGUGACGGUAAUGGGUAAAGAAGCACCGGCUAACUACGUG